GACGAACGCUGGCGGCGUGCCUAAUACAUGCAAGUCGAGCGGACUUUCAAGAAGCUUGCUUUUUGAAAGUUAGCGGCGGACGGGUGAGUAACACGUGGGCAACCUGCCUGCAAGACGGGGAUAACUCCGGGAAACCGGGGCUAAUACCGGAUAAUAUCUUCCUUCGCAUGAAGGAAGGUUGAAAGGCGGCGCAAGCUGCCGCUUGCAGAUGGGCCCGCGGCGCAUUAGCUAGUUGGUGAGGUAACGGCUCACCAAGGCGACGAUGCGUAGCCGACCUGAGAGGGUGAUCGGCCACACUGGGACUGAGACACGGCCCAGACUCCUACGGGAGGCAGCAGUAGGGAAUCUUCCGCAAUGGACGAAAGUCUGACGGAGCAACGCCGCGUGAGCUAAGAAGGUCUUCGGAUCGUAAAGCUCUGUUGUCAGGGAAGAACAAGUACCGUUCGAACAGGGCGGUACCUUGACGGUACCUGACCAGAAAGCCACGGCUAACUACGUG
Molecule: ribosomal RNA, 499 nt
Filed under: uncultured bacterium
Lineage: Bacteria
Description: partial 16S ribosomal RNA
Rfam family: Bacterial small subunit ribosomal RNA
Source: RNAcentral